GCAUAAUAAAUAGUUUUUUAAUUGGAAACUUGAAUGAAAGGUAUUUACUAAAGGGGAGGUUUUAUUUAAUUAAUUUGAAUUUAAAUUAAAAUUAAAAAUGGUUUUAUAAAUUUUUGGGACAAGAAGACCCUAGAAGCUUGAAUUGAAAAGAAUUUUAGUUGGGGUAACAUUUGAAGAAAAAGAUUUUUGAAAAUGUAUUAAGGAUAAUUAAUAAGUUACUCUAGGGAUAACAGCGUCAUCUAAUUAACGAGUUCUUAUCAAUAAUUAGGUUUGCGACCUCGAUGUUGAAUUAAAU
Molecule: ribosomal RNA, 295 nt
Filed under: Pachylus paessleri
Lineage: Eukaryota; Metazoa; Arthropoda; Arachnida; Opiliones; Gonyleptidae
Description: partial 16S ribosomal RNA
Source: RNAcentral